Molecule: long non-coding RNA, 328 nt
Filed under: Solanum tuberosum (potato)
Lineage: Eukaryota; Viridiplantae; Streptophyta; Magnoliopsida; Solanales; Solanaceae
Description: long non-coding RNA (STUB_LNC000987)
Source: RNAcentral
GAAGCCAAGUGUCACGACUCAUGCUAUCCGGAUAUUAAUCAAACGUUAAAUUGUUAAGAGUAAAGCCAACCGAAUUACUAUGCAAACAAGACAAUAAAUUGAUGAAUCAAACCGACACCAUAACAUACUAAGUAAAGUUUUACUAACAUUCGACCCCUACUUGCUGUCAUGAUUAGAAGGAAACAAAAUGAAAGAAGAUUACACUAACACAAAGAGCUAAGUGCACUCAAGACGGCAUUUGCUGCCAGUGACAAGCAAAAUGUACAGCAUGUCCAAUGUUGGACCAAAUGAGCUUGAAAAUAGCUCAAACCUUAGCUUAACUUGAAGU